Molecule: RNA transcript, 2593 nt
Organism: Vitis riparia (riverbank grape)
Lineage: Eukaryota; Viridiplantae; Streptophyta; Magnoliopsida; Vitales; Vitaceae
Gene name: serine hydroxymethyltransferase 7-like
Exons: 5
Source: RefSeq, a predicted model, not a curated record
UCGGUCCGGAAUUUCACCACCAUCGUCAAUCCUACGCAUCCCUGUGACGUUUCUAGGGUUAGGGCUAGGAUUUGGGUUGGGUUUUCUGAGAAUUCCAUGGAGGCUGCUUCGACCUCUAGAAGACCGCUCUUCCGCUACUGUUACUGUAACUGCUUGAAGCGUUCUUGUCGUUGUUUCUGCUGUUGCUACUGUUGUUCACGCCCUUGAACACAUUCCCAACUAGGGUUAGGGCUAGGAUUAGGGUUUUGCGUUUUAUAAUGGAUUUGAACUCCAGCUCCAAUCUCUCUCUUGGGUUCUCAUCGUCUUCAUCGGUGCAAAUAGCCGACGAUUCUAUCGCUUUUCAGAUUGAUUCCAGCUUCCGCGAAUCCACGAACCCGAUGCCAACCGCGCCACUGCAGUUGUUGGAGGAGAAUCACAGGGGCGAGAAUGGUGGAGGCGGGGGAGAGAGCGCGGAUGAGGAAGAGAAGGUGGAGGAGUUCAGGAUAUUGGGGCAUUCGAUGUGCUUGAAGAGGCGGAGAGACGGGGAGGUCACUUGUUCGGCGGUGAGAAGAGAUCCGAUGGAGGCGGAGCUCGAGGCGCGGCGGAGCGCUGUGAGGGCGUGGGGAAACCAGCGGCUCUGCGUGGCCGAUCCUGAUGUGUUUGAUAUUAUGGAAAAAGAGAAGCGGAGGCAAUUCAAGGGAAUUGAGUUGAUCGCUUCGGAGAAUUUCGUGUGCAGGGCGGUGAUGGAAGCCCUGGGAAGCCAUUUGACGAAUAAGUAUUCCGAGGGAAUGCCGGGUGCUAGGUAUUACUGUGGGAAUCAGUAUAUUGAUGAGAUUGAAUGGCUUUGUUGCAAGCGCGCAUUGAAGGCAUUCGAUCUUGAUCCGGAGAAUUGGGGAGUGAAUGUUCAGCCAUAUUCAUGUACUUCUGCAAAUUUCGCAGUUUACACAGGUUUACUUCUUCCGGGUGAUAGAAUCAUGGGGUUGGAUACUCCAUCAGGUGGAAAUACUAGUCAUGGGUACUACACUCCUAAUGGCAGGAAAGUUUCGGGGGCGUCUAUCUUCUUUGAGAGUUUACCCUAUAAGGUGAACCCACAAACUGGGUAUAUAGAUUUUGAUAAGCUUGAAGAGAGGGCGCUUGAUUUUCGCCCCAAGAUUCUUAUUUGUGGUGGGAGUUCAUAUCCUCGUGAAUGGGAUUAUGCUAGGUUUAGACAGAUUGCUGAUAAGUGUGGAGCAGUGCUUUUGUGCGACAUGGCUCAAAUUAGCGGACUUGUUGCGGCUAAGGAAUGUGUAAACCCUUUUGAUUACUGUGAUAUUGUUACCUCAACAACUCACAAAAGUCUACGGGGUCCCAGGGGAGGCAUAAUUUUUUAUAGAAAGGGUACAAAGCCAAGGAAAAGAGGGAUGAUUCUAAGUCAAGGAGAUGAUAAUGAUCACUAUGACUAUGAGGAAAAGAUAAACUUUGCUGUUUUCCCAUCAUUGCAAGGGGGCCCUCACAAUAACCACAUUGCUGCCCUUGCAAUAGCCCUAAAACAAGUGGCUACUCCAGAGUACAAGGCAUAUAUGCUGCAGGUAAAGAAAAAUGCUCAGGCUUUAGCAUCUGCUUUACUGAGAAGAAAAUGUAGGCUGGUAACUGGAGGCACAGACAACCAUUUGUUACUUUGGGAUCUUAGAACUCUGGGAUUGACAGGUAAGAACUAUGAGAAGGUCUGUGAAAUGUGCCACAUUACACUCAAUAAAAUUGCUAUAUUCGGUGAUAAUGGCACUAUUACUCCUGGAGGUGUAAGGAUUGGUACUCCUGCUAUGACAUCAAGAGGUUGUCUAGAGGCCGAUUUUGAGACAAUUGCUGACUUUUUGCUCAGAGCUGCACAGAUUGCAAGUGUCGUACAGAGAGAGCAUGGGAAAAUGCAGAAGGCUUUUCUGAAGGGCCUUGAGAGCAAUAAAGAUAUUGUUGAGCUCAGAACCCGAGUUGAAAUUUUUGCUACUCAAUUUGUAAUGCCAGGAUUUGAUGGUUGAAAAUCUUUUUGAGAUUGCAUCCUGUUAAGGAUUGCCAUCUUCCAUUCAUGACAGUCUUCUGCUGCACAUGAGUGAUGCUGCCAUGUUGAUGGGGGGCAAGCCAUUUUGGUCAUUCACUGAUCCGCUUAUAUGGGCAAAUGGCCUUGGUGACAGCGGACCAGCAAUACAAGGUGCCUUUCAGCCUCAAAACGGUUGAUGAUUAUGAUGUUUGCAGAACAGUGAUUGCUGAGCAACUGAAUCCUCCAUGCACCUCUGAAAGUUUUUAAAGCCUUGCUAAAUAUUUAUUUGUGAAUCUGAUACACACCAUGGAUUAGGGUCUUAGUAAACUUUCAAAUAACUUCCUGUAUUCUCACUCUUCACAUUUCUUUUUUAACUGCCCCAAAUAAUAGCAAUUGUCAUGCAGCAGAAAACCGGCUUUGAUUGUAUUUGUAUACUGUUUUCUGGAACUUUGCAUUCCCAAUUAGUCCUUGACGAAGCAUUUUAGGUAAACAAUUACAUGAUACAUCACCCAUUUUGUUUUGCUGCGGUGACCUGAGGCUUGUGCCCUCGUGCUUUUCUGCAGUUUAUCAUUACAUUCAAUCAUCUGUGCUGGUUUUUGCCCA